GGGUUGGGGCUCAGUGGUAGAGAGCUCGUCUUGCACCCGUGAGACCCUGGGUUCAAUCCUCAGCAUCACA
RNAcentral lists this transfer RNA (70 nucleotides) under Marmota monax (woodchuck). RNAcentral's name for it is "tRNA.Ala". Lineage: Eukaryota; Metazoa; Chordata; Mammalia; Rodentia; Sciuridae. The record is from RNAcentral.